Molecule: long non-coding RNA, 952 nt
Filed under: Homo sapiens (human)
Lineage: Eukaryota; Metazoa; Chordata; Mammalia; Primates; Hominidae
Description: PREDICTED lncRNA (TCONS_00202631)
Source: RNAcentral
GCGGGUGUUCGGCUACGUCACUGGGGCGCUACGGUUCCUGGAGCUGGGCAGUCUUCUCGUCAGAGUGGGGACUGGUAAGAGCGACCUCCCCGCCAGGUCCUGUGUGUUGCCGGCUGAAGAAGGGAUGAUGAUUAUUCCCCACCUUCUAAGAGACAAAGACCAACGAGCCACCACAGCCACCAGUCCCAGAACCCGCCAAUGCUGGGGAAUGGAAAAUGAGGGAGUUCAACUCUGGCCCUCACAAUCCAGUGGAGGAGACGAAACUCAUCUGCCUCUGUCCCUCUGGGCACACCUCAUGCCAGGUGCAUCUGUGGACAGGGGCCAUGCUCCUGGGCUUCCAAAGUUGGAGAAAGCUGCCAGGCUCAGACCCACCUAAGCUGAAGAUUCCCUUGAGAACAAGUACUGUCCUGUGGUUUCAUGGCCUUUCUUCCAUUUGUGGUUCUUGCGAAGUGGAAUUUAAAUGACAUCUUAUCAAGAUGGAUAAACCCUAGUUUCCCAGUGCUGGAAUAUAGAAAAUGGAUGGACAAGUAAAUCCCACUCAGUACCCAUAGGCCAGGCAUGGGGACCUCAACACACCUGAGCCCCAGACAUCACCUUUCAUUCUGGACCUACCAUGAAAGACUUCUGAAUCCAGGAAGAGAAACUGACUGGGCAACAUGUUAUUCAGAUGGGGUCCUCUUAUGUUGCCCAGGCUGGUCUCAAAUUCCUAGGCUCAAGUGAUUCCGCCCACCUCUGCCUCCCAAAGUGCUGGGAUUACGGGCAUGAGCCAGCGCAUCUGGCCACCUUAUUUUCUAUUACUGGCUCAAUGUAAUGGCUCCAUCUCAGGAACAGCCAAUGAAAGAGAUGCACAGGACAAGAGAUGGGACCUCAGUAUGUUGCCGCGGCUGACCUUGAACUCCUGCACUCAAGGGAUUUUCCUGCCCUGGCCUCCCAAAGUAUUGGUAUUACAGGC